AGAACCUAUUCCAGAGACCCACUGUAAGACACGGUGUGCCGUGUAAGAAAAGUGGAGGGGAAGCAAAGACAGGAACAACGGAGGGUUCUUUCAAGAAGCCAAGAAACAUGGUGGUAGCUGGAAGAAGCAGGAGAAAAGGUGCAGACACUUUGACUGGGAUCUCAAGGAAUGAAACCCUAAUUGACUGACCAGAGUGGAACCAGGAUCAGCUCUAGACAAGCAUGCUCAUGGCAGUAUUGAUGAAAGACGGGGAAAUGACCAAACUGUUUAGCAAAGAAGAGUACGUAAAUUGAUACUGUCCUACAGUGGAUUAAAAAUCAGUGAAAAUGAACAAGAGCUACACAUGUCAACAUUCAUAAACCUCAAACAAGUUUGAGCAACAACACAAAAGCAAGUCCUAAAAGAAUAUGUGCAAUCUGAUGCCAUAUAUCACAUACCAUUUCAAAAAUAUGAAAAACUGAGCAAUAUAUAAAGAUGAGGUACAUGUGUGCUAAUUCAAUAAAGUAACGCAAAGAUUAGUAAA
Lontra canadensis (Northern American river otter) is the source of this 523-nucleotide long non-coding RNA. RefSeq lists it as uncharacterized. The record is from RefSeq and is a predicted model, not a curated record. The transcript has 3 exons. NCBI's taxonomy places the organism in Eukaryota, Metazoa, Chordata, Mammalia, Carnivora, Mustelidae.